UGACUGAGUCGAUGUGGCGGAUGAGCUAAGGCUUGGUGGCUUGGAUCGGGUGACACAUUGGAGUAGGUAGGCAUUGGUCGAACUCGAGUAACUACAAAGAAGGUCUGACCAUCUGAGAAUAAGGUCGGGGUUGUCCAGUGGGAGACCCUCCGAUGGUUAAUUCAGUAGCAGUCAGAGAGGGAGAACAAUAGAAGAAGAAGGU
This 202-nucleotide long non-coding RNA is filed under the name Elaeis guineensis (African oil palm). RNAcentral describes it as "long non-coding RNA (EGUI_LNC052962)". Lineage: Eukaryota; Viridiplantae; Streptophyta; Magnoliopsida; Arecales; Arecaceae. The record is from RNAcentral.